Molecule: ribosomal RNA, 765 nt
Filed under: Vreelandella aquamarina
Lineage: Bacteria; Pseudomonadati; Pseudomonadota; Gammaproteobacteria; Oceanospirillales; Halomonadaceae
Description: bacterial SSU rRNA
Rfam family: Bacterial small subunit ribosomal RNA
Source: RNAcentral
GUGAAUUGGCGGCGGCUACACAUGCAGUCGAGCGGUAACAGAUCCAGCUUGCUGGAUGCUGACGAGCGGCGGACGGGUGAGUAAUGCAUAGGAAUCUGCCCGAUAGUGGGGGAUAACCUGGGGAAACCCAGGCUAAUACCGCAUACGUCCUACGGGAGAAAGGGGGCUUCGGCUCCCGCUAUCGGAUGAGCCUAUGUCGGAUUAGCUAGUUGGUGAGGUAACGGCUCACCAAGGCCACGAUCCGUAGCUGGUCUGAGAGGAUGAUCAGCCACAUCGGGACUGAGACACGGCCCGAACUCCUACGGGAGGCAGCAGUGGGGAAUAUUGGACAAUGGGGGGAACCCUGAUCCAGCCAUGCCGCGUGUGUGAAGAAGGCCCUCGGGUUGUAAAGCACUUUCAGCGAGGAAGAACGCCUAGCGGUUAAUACCCGCUAGGAAAGACAUCACUCGCAGAAGAAGCACCGGCUAACUCCGUGCCAGCAGCCGCGGUAAUACGGAGGGUGCAAGCGUUAAUCGGAAUUACUGGGCGUAAAGCGCGCGUAGGUGGCUUGAUAAGCCGGUUGUGAAAGCCCCGGGCUCAACCUGGGAACGGCAUCCGGAACUGUCAAGCUAGAGUGCAGGAGAGGAAGGUAGAAUUCCCGGUGUAGCGGUGAAAUGCGUAGAGAUCGGGAGGAAUACCAGUGGCGAAGGCGGCCUUCUGGACUGACACUGACACUGAGGUGCGAAAGCGUGGGUAGCAAACAGGAUUAGAUACCUUGGUUAGUCA